RNAcentral lists this ribosomal RNA (521 nucleotides) under uncultured bacterium. RNAcentral's name for it is "partial 16S ribosomal RNA". It matches the Rfam family "Bacterial small subunit ribosomal RNA", at positions 28 to 523 of the family's 1533-position model. The record is from RNAcentral.
GACGAACGCUGGCGGCGUGCCUAAUACAUGCGAGUCGAACGCUUUUUCUUUCACCGGAGCUUGCUCCACCGAAAGAAAAAGAGUGGCGAACGGGUGAGUAACACGUGGGUAACCUGCCCAUCAGAAGGGGAUAACACUUGGAAACAGGUGCUAAUACCGUAUAACACUAUUUUCCGCAUGGAAGAAAGUUGAAAGGCGCUUUUGCGUCACUGAUGGAUGGACCCGCGGUGCAUUAGCUAGUUGGUGAGGUAACGGCACCAAGGCAACGAUGCAUAGCCGACCUGAGAGGGUGAUCGGCCACACUGGGACUGAGACACGGCCCAGACUCCUACGGGAGGUAGCAGUAGGGAAUCUUCGGCAAUGGACGAAAGUCUGACCGAGCAACGCCGCGUGAGUGAAGAAGGUUUUCGGAUCGUAAAACUCUGUUGUUAGAGAAGAACAAGGAUGAGAGUAGAACGUUCAUCCCUUGACGGUAUCUAACCAGAAAGCCACGGCUAACUACGUGCCAGCCGCCGCAGUAA